RNAcentral lists this ribosomal RNA (109 nucleotides) under Erinaceus europaeus (western European hedgehog). Lineage: Eukaryota; Metazoa; Chordata; Mammalia; Eulipotyphla; Erinaceidae. The record is from RNAcentral.
GUCUAUGGCCAUACCACCCUGAACACGUCUGAUCUCGGAAGCUAAGCAGGGUUGGGCCUGGUGAGUACUUGGACAGGAGACCGCCUGGGAAUACCGGGUGCUGUAGGCU